GAUGAACGCUGGCGGCGUGCCUAAUACAUGCAAGUCGAGCGAACAGACGAGGAGCUUGCUCCUCUGACGUUAGCGGCGGACGGGUGAGUAACACGUGGAUAACCUACCUAUAAGACUGGGAUAACUUCGGGAAACCGGAGCUAAUACCGGAUAAUAUAUUGAACCGCAUGGUUCAAUAGUGAAAGACGGUUUUGCUGUCACUUAUAGAUGGAUCCGCGCCGCAUUAGCUAGUUGGUAAGGUAACGGCUUACCAAGGCAACGAUGCGUAGCCGACCUGAGAGGGUGAUCGGCCACCCUGGAACUGAGACACGGUCCAGACUCCUACGGGAGGCAGCAGUAGGGAAUCUUCCGCAAUGGGCGAAAGCUUGACGGAGGAGCGCCGCGUGAGUGAUGAAGGUCUUCGGAUCGUAAAACUCUGUUAUUAGGGAAGAACAAAUGUGUAAGUAACUAUGCACGUCUUGACGGUACCUAAUCAGAAAGCCACGGCUAACUACGUG
RNAcentral lists this ribosomal RNA (497 nucleotides) under uncultured bacterium. RNAcentral describes it as "partial 16S ribosomal RNA". It matches the Rfam family "Bacterial small subunit ribosomal RNA", at positions 28 to 507 of the family's 1533-position model. The record is from RNAcentral.